CCUGAGACUAGAAUCAUGUCCUGACACAGCUCUUGUCCUGGUGUGCUAGAGCCCUUGGAGAGAAUGUGCUGGUUUUGAUCCACUAGCAAAGACCAUAGGUGCUCCCAGUGGUGUCCAGAUCAGAAACAAUC
This is a small nucleolar RNA of Manis javanica (Malayan pangolin), 131 nucleotides long. RefSeq annotates it as small nucleolar RNA SNORA3/SNORA45 family. The record is from RefSeq and is a predicted model, not a curated record. NCBI's taxonomy places the organism in Eukaryota, Metazoa, Chordata, Mammalia, Pholidota, Manidae.